RNAcentral lists this unclassified non-coding RNA (230 nucleotides) under Hevea brasiliensis (rubber tree). Lineage: Eukaryota; Viridiplantae; Streptophyta; Magnoliopsida; Malpighiales; Euphorbiaceae. The record is from RNAcentral.
GGCCAUUGCUAAAACUGGUUCAGGAAAGACUCUAGGCUAUAUUAUUCCUGCAUUUAUUCAUCUCAGACGUUGUCGGAAUGAUCCUUCAGCUUGGUCCCACAGUGUUGGUCUUGUCCCCAACUCGAGAACUUGCUACCCAGAUUCAAGAAGAGGUAGUGAAAUUUGGUCGCUCUUCAAGGGUUUCGUGCACAUGUCUGUAUGGAGGUGCGCCAAAGGGUCCUCAGUUAAGA